This is a non-coding RNA of Lactuca sativa (garden lettuce), 829 nucleotides long. NCBI's taxonomy places the organism in Eukaryota, Viridiplantae, Streptophyta, Magnoliopsida, Asterales, Asteraceae. The record is from RefSeq and is a predicted model, not a curated record.
UCCUUUUUUUCUCAUUCCAUCUGAUACUGCCAACAAAAUUCUCUCUCAGACUCGUGAACAAAAACCAUGAAAUGUCUGCAUCUUUUCUUCGAAUCACACUGGUACGUCAUUGCCUUCCAAGCUUGUUGUCUCAUUCUCGACUCAAAUCGGUGCUAGUUUGCUCCGAACAUCCGCUCCUUCUCCUCCGACGCCAUCAACACCUCCAGAAUCCCUCAUACACCAACCCUCUUAAUUUGCGAAUGUUCAUUCUCAUCCUCAUCGAUCUGUAAAUCCUCUGCACCAUCGCCUCUCUCACUACCUCUAACAACCGACCAUCGAAACUCUAACCCUAUAUCGACUCGAUCUAACCGCGACACUCACCGACACUUUCAUCUCCUCUACUCUCAUCAAAAUUAGCGAAAACCCUACACUUACAUUGGUUUAUCGAAUAGAAGAGCUUGUAGAAGAGAAAGGUGAUCAUGUAUCUAAGUUGCAGGAAAUGUCACAGUUGAUGAAGCUCUUGCAACCGAUGUUAGUCAAGCACCCCAAGAAAGUCCAAAAACGAGGGAACUUUUCAAUGAAGAUUUCGAGUCCGAGAGUGAGGAGCAAGUGUCAGAGAGAAGAUGAAUAUGAGUCGGAUGGGGCUCAAAUAAUGGAAGUAUGUGGAGAAUAUUAGAAGAAAAAUGUUGUGCUUGUUAAACUUAUUAUUAAUUUUUUAUAGACUUGUUGGAUGAUGAUUUUGUGUGCUUGUUAAACUUAUUCUUAAACUUUUAUGCUUAUUUUGGAUGAUAAAUGGUUGUACUUGUUAAACUUAUUAAGUUAUUAUUAAAAUUUUAUGCUUAUUUACUUA